UCACAAGUAGAAUUGCUGGUUAUUGAUGAAGCGGCAGCUAUACCUUUGCCAGUUGUGAAGUCCUUGCUUGGUCCUUAUCUUGUAUUCCUCUCUUCAACAGUGAAUGGGUAUGAAGGUACAGGAAGGUCAUUAUCUUUAAAACUGUUGCAGCAACUUGAGCAACAAGAUCGGAUUUCAAGCCAAAGUGUGGAUACUGGUGUUUCAGGCCGAUUGAAAAAGAUUGAAUUAAGUGAAGCAAUCAGAUAUGCCUCUGGCGAUCCAAUUGAAUCCUGGCUUCAUUCAUUGCUGUGUUUGGAUGCAACAAAUUCCAUUCCUAGUAUAAGCAGGCUACCUCCACCCAGUGAAUGUGAUCUGUAUUAUGUGAAUCGAGACACCCUGUUCUCCUAUCAUAGGGACAGUGAAUUAUUUAUGCAGAGGAUGAUGGCUCUCU
Long non-coding RNA from Salvia miltiorrhiza (redroot sage), 430 nucleotides. RefSeq lists it as uncharacterized. Lineage: Eukaryota; Viridiplantae; Streptophyta; Magnoliopsida; Lamiales; Lamiaceae. The record is from RefSeq and is a predicted model, not a curated record. The transcript is spliced from 5 exons.